RNAcentral lists this ribosomal RNA (484 nucleotides) under uncultured bacterium. RNAcentral's name for it is "partial 16S ribosomal RNA". It matches the Rfam family "Bacterial small subunit ribosomal RNA", at positions 28 to 507 of the family's 1533-position model. The record is from RNAcentral.
GUUGAACGCUGGCGGCAGGCCUAACACAUGCAAGUCGAGCGGAUGAAGGGAGCUUGCUCCUGGAUUCAGCGGCGGACGGGUGAGUAAUGCCUAGGAAUCUGCCUGGUAGUGGGGGAUAACGUCCGGAAACGGGCGCUAAUACCGCAUACGUCCUGAGGGAGAAAGUGGGGGAUCUUCGGACCUCACGCUAUCAGAUGAGCCUAGGUCGGAUUAGCUAGUUGGUGGGGUAAAGGCCUACCAAGGCGACGAUCCGUAACUGGUCUGAGAGGAUGAUCAGCCACACUGGAACUGAGACACGGUCCAGACUCCUACGGGAGGCAGCAGUGGGGAAUAUUGGACAAUGGGCGAAAGCCUGAUCCAGCCAUGCCGCGUGUGUGAAGAAGGUCUUCGGAUUGUAAAGCACUUUAAGUUGGGAGGAAGGGCAGUAAGUUAAUACCUUGCUGUUUUGACGUUACCAACAGAAUAAGCACCGGCUAACUUCGUG